RNAcentral lists this non-coding RNA (91 nucleotides) under Cupriavidus taiwanensis. Lineage: Bacteria; Pseudomonadati; Pseudomonadota; Betaproteobacteria; Burkholderiales; Burkholderiaceae. The record is from RNAcentral.
CUCCAUGGCGGGCCGGGCGAGGCAGCAAACAGGCUGACCGGGAUUGGGUAAGUGCCCGGUUUCCACCCUCGUCGUCAGGCCCGCCGCCCCU